CCUACGGGUGGCAGCAGUGGGGAAUAUUGCACAAUGGGGGAAACCCUGAUGCAGCAACGCCGCGUGAGUGAAGAAGUAUUUCGGUAUGUAAAGCUCUAUCAGCAGGGAAGAAGAUGACGGUACCUGAGUAAGAAGCCCCGGCGAACUACGUGCCAGCAGCCGCGGGAAUACGUAGGGGGCAAGCGUUAUCCGGAUUUACUGGGUGGCACGGGAGCGUAGACGGUGAGACAAGUCUGAAGUGAAAGCCCGGGGCUCAACCCCGGGACUGCUUUGGAAAGUGCCUGACUGGAGUGCGGGAGAGGCCGGCGGACUUCCUAGUGUAGCGGUGAAAUGCGUAGAUAUUAGGCAG
RNAcentral lists this ribosomal RNA (349 nucleotides) under uncultured bacterium. RNAcentral's name for it is "partial 16S ribosomal RNA". It matches the Rfam family "Bacterial small subunit ribosomal RNA", at positions 338 to 704 of the family's 1533-position model. The record is from RNAcentral.